UACGGAGGGUGCAAGCGUUGUCCGGAUUUAUUGGGUUUAAAGGGUGCGUAGGCGGCCCGUUAAGUCAGUGGUGAAAUCCCAGGGCUCAACCCUGGAACUGCCAUUGAUACUGGCGGGCUUGAGUUCGGUCGAGGCGGGCGGAACUGGUGGUGUAGCGGUGAAAUGCAUAGAUACCACCAAGAACCCCGAUUGCGAAGGCAGCUCGCUGGGCCGAAACUGACGCUGAGGCACGAAAGCGUGGGGAGCGAACAGGAUUAGAAACCCCCGUAGUCC
Molecule: ribosomal RNA, 273 nt
Filed under: uncultured bacterium
Lineage: Bacteria
Description: partial 16S ribosomal RNA
Rfam family: Bacterial small subunit ribosomal RNA
Source: RNAcentral